CUCCCGUGACCCAGCCAGCUUGCCGGCCUUCCUCGGAGGCCAGUCCCUCCCCACCCCCGAGGGGCGAGGAAGGAACCCUGAGCUUCAACGCGUUAAGCAGGCGCUCCACCACUGAGCCACACCCCAGCCCUAACAUAUUGGCAUUUUAAGAAUUUGUUCCUAUCCCAGAAAGAAGACUGGCACCGCGUGGGCAAGUAGUUCCAGGCUGUUUUCACUUGGAGCGACCCACUUGUGCAAAGCAAGAGGAGAGCAAGACCAAAACUGAAAGGAGAGCCAGCCAGCUUUUCUCCACCGGGUCAGGGGCUUGGCAUUAAGGCACGAAGGCCAUUCAUGGAACUGUGAUGCUCUUUUAGGAUCACUUAGAAUCACAGACACUUAAAAGUGACGUCAGCGUAUAUAAUAGAGUCAGCCUCCAGUUUGAUCUUGACGGUUGCCGGCGUUGAGGCCUAAACCAUCCCUUCCUCACCCUGCACAUCUGGCACUUUGAUUCUGGCAGGAAGUGUAAACUUUGCUGGCCAAGUCUGAGAUCAGAAACUCUUCUCAACCAACUGCCACCUAUAAGGUAUGUUCUUUAAAAUUGUCAGGUGUGUUUACUCCAGAAGGGUAUUUCAGAUCAUUCUUUCCAUGUGCCCCUAUAAAACUUUGUAAAAGGUUAGGACACUUCUAAGGUAAUUGGAAUUUCUAUUCUCUUUGAUAGAUACUAGGAAAGCAAUAACAGGUUAUAGAAAUACAGAAUGAGUCUGAAAAAAAUAAUAGCACAUAGGAUCAAAUCUAAAACACCAGGCAUGGUGACUCAGGCCUGUAAUCCCAGUGGUUCAGGAGACUGAGGCAGGAGGAUCAGAAAUUUGGGACCAGCUUUGGCAACUUGCCAACACCCUGUCUCAAAAUAUAACAAGGGUUAGAGACGCAGCUGAGUGGUAAAGUACCCCUGGGUUCAAUCCCCAGUUCUGCCCCACCGCACACAAAAGUAGAAUGUCAGCUUCAAGGGGACAAGGAUGGAACCAAGGGGAAACACGGAUAAAUCCUCAAGCUUAAUUUGCUUUUAACUAAUGCUUUCAUCACCAAUUUUAUGGGUCACAUUAACUAACAUCUCAGUCAUAUUGGUCAUGAAGGUAGUUGUCUGUAUUGUUUUUCAGGCUACUUUUGUCACUUUCAAACCUGUUGAAACCAAUGACCUUUCACUUGGGCCUGCCAAGCUGUCUGAUGGGUGACUUUUUGAGGUCCAAGGCCCAAAAUUUGAACCUCAGAGCAUACUGUUGCCAACAUUUUCAGAAGUCAGUCUGGCUUCCAGCUUGGAAUAUUUUCAACCCAAAUGCCGGGUUCAAUCUAAAAGCCAUAAAAUUUGGUUAAGCAUAUGUGACUGUUACCAGAUUUUUGAGGCAAAGGCCCCAGUGCUAGGGGUCCUGGUGGACUGUUGGUUCUGACACACAUCCCAAGAUUCCAGUCCAAGAGACAUGCAGUUGUGAAGGCAGGAAAGGAACUUUAAUCAGUGUAGCUAUACCAGGAAGACAAGGGGACUUACAUCCUCAACCCAGUCUUCAGGGGUACUGGCAUGAACUCCCAGCUUAUAGAGUUUAAGGAGGCCAGAAGUGUGCAUGAUCAAGUGUAGUCUUGUCAAACUACGAUCUGGUUUAUCAUUAUUUCAAGAUUGGUCAGGGGGCCUUGUCUGGGAUAAGAAAUUGCUGUUGCUGGGGAGUAGUUCAAGUCUUCUCAUAGGAGAUUUAUUCAUCAGACCUACCUAGAAUCCAGUGUGACCACAGGAGAAAAUGGCACUGAGCAAAGGAAACAGAUCAGAACGGAGGCAGAGAUGCCACAUUUUUAACUGUUUUUUAGUUACCCAUCAGGCAUCUGUAGGUGUGUACAGAGCCAAGUGAAGUACUUUUAGUAAAAGCAGCCUCUCAGUCCUUAUUCCAGUACUGCUGAUUACUUCAGUUUUCCCUGCCUCUGAUCAUCUUUCCCUCAUAUCUCAGACCACCAUGUUUGGGUGGUUUUUUGUUUGUUUGUUUUGGUACCAGGGAUUGAACUCAGGGGCACAUAAAUACUGAGCCACAACCCCAGCCCCUUUUAUUUUUUAUCUUGAAAGAUCUCGGUAUGUUACCUAGGGCCUCAAGUUGCUGAGGCUGGCUUUGAACUUGUUAUCCUCCUGCCACAACCUCCUGGCUGAGAUUACAGACGUGCACCACCAUGCCCUGCCACCCUGCUUCUUUAUCCCAUAAAUACCACUAAGCCUUAUUUUUGGGGAGGUGGAUUUGAGACUUAGGUCCAGGGACCUCACACACCAUGCUCCCUUGGAGAUGCAGGGCUGCCGGCAGAGCUGCCCAGAAAGGGGCUCAGUGCCAUGCCAGUCUCCAAGUAGGGAUGGAACAGGAUACCAGGGUCUGAGGAGGGUCCCACAUGGCCUUUUCCAAUCAGCCCUCACUCCCUAGCUCAGGAUGCUGGCUCCUUGUUCACCAUUCCUUUCUUUUGGGGUCUCCUAGCAUCUUCCCACAGGAUCCUGUGAUCCAUACAAGUCACAGCAUAUGAAUACUGGAUCACAGUGUACUCAAAGAAUUCCAGACUUAAGUGUUGAAUGGAGAGAUCCUUGGCCUCAGAGUAGGAGAGACCUGUCCAGGCCAGCCAGACUGGAACAGGAGGGCUUGGAGUUUGGCAGGGGUCGGAAAUUCUCAUUUUUUAAUUAUUUAUUUUGAGAUAGGGUCUCCCUAUAUUGCCCAGGCUGGCCUUGAACUACUGGGCUCAAGCAAUCCUUCUGCUUCAGCCCCCUGAAGAGGCCACAGGCACAAGCCACUGUAAUAAAAUUAUUAAAUGUGUGGAAAAAUUAUUAAAUGUGCAGAUUAUGUCAGUAAUAUUCUAUAACAAUAAAGAGAAUAACAACAAAUAUUUGAACUCAGACAAACAGACUGCUUCAGCCAGUUCACAAGGAAACUGGCAUUUGGGUUGAACAUAUUCCAAGCUGGAAGCCAGACUGUUGAAAUGAAGCCCCAGUUGGCUCAUUCCUUGGCCAUGAGGCAGGGACACUUACGGAUUGAACUCUGGGAGUUCACCUUGCCCUCUGUCUCCUCCAAACUGUGUAGAAAGGCUCCUUUCUUCAAGAUAUUCAUUUUCACCAGCAAGAAACUAACCAGGAAUCAAUUUCAGGUUCUGAUCUAUGUAAACCAUCAAAUUAUGAACCUUUCUCUAGGAGAUACCCAAAAUGAGUCUUUCUCUAAGUCUGACCUUCACAGGUUUUUUUCACUUACAUGGAUGACAGUCUGACACCAGCAACUCUAUAGUGCCAAAACCAAACUGUCCAGAAAACAGCCCCAUGACAACAAGAGUCACAGUCUCAGAAAGGACAGACACUCCCAACUCUGCUGUGCGUCUCCCACUUUUCAGUGCUCUGCAGCUUAGGUCAGCUGGUCUGUAGCUGUUCUUCUGUAGCACAAGGUCACCUAUAGAGGACAGCACCUGCCCAGGAGGCACCAAGGAGAACUCCAUUGUCCCUCCUUUGCAGGCUCAAGUUUGGCCUCAGCUCUUAGCUACCUGUCUCAGUCCUGUGCCUGCCACUGCAGGUCAUUCACCUGCUUCACACCAACACCAAUAAGUUCAAUGACACAGAGACCUUCAGUCACAUUGUUUGAAUAAGAAAACAGCAGAGACCCUGCUUUCCUUCUAUGCUUUUGUGUACAGUAAAGGAGGAAAACUAAAAUACUGGCAAAUAAUUAUUCCUUUGAGAAAAACAAAGAUGUUAGCAAACUAUUAUUUUCAUAUUAACAAAUUCUUAUGGAGAGCAACUAAUUAGGUGUGAACCUUCCUUUUUCCUCUGCUUCAGUGACUCUCUAUGAUCCUUGGUGAGGCAUCAUUCAUCCUUUCCAGGUUUAGGAAAGGCCAGAAAGGCCAGAUUGAACAUUUUUUUUUUUUUUAAUGGUGUUGGGGAUUGAACCUAGGGUGUCCUCACACAUGCUAAGCAAGCACUCUCUCACUGAACUACAUACACCCCCAGCCUCAAGUCUGUUUAAAAAAUAUGAAUAAUGAAAAAUAAUAUGAUUUUAUAAUAUACAUUUGACAUAAAUAAUGUAAAUUUAAGUUGUUAAAAUACUAAAAUGAUAGAAUAUCAAAACAGAAUAUAAAAGUAGUUAAUGAUAAAACAAAAAAUAAAAGUAAAUAUCCAGAGUAUCUCCUCUAAACACAAUGAGAUGAACUUACGAAUAAAUAACUGAAGGAAAACUUGAAAAUUCACAAAAUGAGGAUAAACAACACUUAGUUUAAGAAUAAAUUAAUCAAGGGGCUGGGGCUAUGUUUUAGCAGUACAGCACUUGUCUUGCAUAUGGAGGCCCUGGAUUCAAUCCUCAGCACCACAUAAAUAAAAUAAAGGUAUUGUGUCCACCUACAACUAAAAAAAAAAAAAAAAAAAUUAAAGACCAAAUAACAGGUGAGAGUUGUGGAGUUGUGGGUGUACCUCUGUGGUAGAGUACUGUUCUAACAUGCGCAAAGCCCCUAGGUUCCACUCUCAGCACUAUAAUGAAAAAAAAAAAGAUAAACUUUGUAACUGUAUAAGCAUGAGAAGUAAAUUUUACAUAAUAAAAGGUGCCUGAUGUAUGUGCAAUAUAAAUGCUCAGUGACUCACAGCAUGAAAUAAACACCCUGGAAAAAUUAUAUAUUUUAUUUCAUCCAUGAAAUCAAUGGAAAAUUUUAAUGUAGCUUCUCAGUAAAUGAAUAAGAUAAUAACAUUUUUUAGUGUACAAGCUAAAUAAACUAUUUUUAAGAAACAUAAAUAUGAAUCUUGUGUCUGAGAAAAAAAAUAUUUUGUUUUUAAUCACAUAUAAUGAAACCUAGUUGAACUGGAACUGAGGUAUUACAUUCAGCUGCAUCAGAGGAAACACCCAUGAUUUUCCACACAGGAAGAAGGUGCUUAUUCUCCCAUGAAAGGACUGGGAGAGCAGUUACUGCACAAUCAGUGCAGCAGAGGAACAAACUCUGUUAUAGUCAGCUUUGCACUGCUGUGACCAACAUACCCAACAAGAAUAACUCAGGAAGCUGUGUGGAAUGUAUAAAUACUGCUCCUGUCCUGCAAUAAAGGGCUCCUACUCCAGCUGUAUCAAUCUACACAAGUUGUUAGUCACCCCCCUGAUUAUUCUGCUGCAGCCGGACUGCGGCAGAUGGUGGCCCGUUACGGGGAGCCCUGGGACACUCGGGGGUAAGUGACGAAAAAAAGCUGCCCGUCCAUAGAUAGGACGGGAGCAAUCUGCUCGUCCCUAGGCAGAUAGGGCGAGAGGAAAAAUGACCAUUUUGAGAAAAUGGAGAAGAUUGAUACAGUAUGUUUGUGUCUUGUUUUGUCUUGAAAUGUUGUAUUGUCUUUGUGAUGAAAAUAUGGAAGGGGUGAGAACUAAAUGACUAAGGGAAGAAGGCACCCCAGUGGAACCAAGAAUAGUUAGGGCAUGUGUUGAUAAGAGCCCAGGAACUCGAGUCAGAAAAAGAAAGUUCAGAAGAAGAAGGAUUAUCAGAAAAAAAGUUGCAGCAAAAGAUUAUUACUAAAUACUUUUCGUUACCAGAGGGUGUGUGAAGCGGAGAGGCGGCUGCCAAAUGUGCAAGCUGGUCACAGCGCAACAAGGAUUUUCCAAGAGGUGGCGGCGACUGGCCCUUCCCCGCCUCCUGGCCGGGGAGCUGGCUCUUCCACUGCCCGAGCCCAAAUCUAGACCUGACCUGGAGGCACAGUCUCGCAGGCUCUUGCUCCCUGUGCCCAGUAGCAGUUUGAGACCGGGACUCUCCCCAGGGCCAUCUGGGGCUACCCGGGACGCUACAGCCGCAGAAGACACUACUGGUGUCCCUGAUGUUUGGUCAUUUUCAAUGCCAAUAACUAAGCUACAAUGGUUCUCCCACACCUGGAAGCUAAUGAGUAAUGAGCACCAUUAAGGCUUAUUUAAAUGUAAAAAACCUUGAGAUAAUGUACUAAAUUGUUCAGAAGGUUGUUUUCUUAGUGCCUGCUGGAAUACUACAGGAUUUUCUUUAGCCAUCCGGAGUUCCUGCCUUCAUCCCAGUGCCAGUAAAGACCAAGGUGGAAGAAUUUCCAGUGUUGCUGAAAACUGGAGGAGACUUCGGAGCUAUUGCUGUUUCUGCUGCUACAACUUAAGCUAGCUGCCUGCAGAACUUACCUGGACUGUGAUUUAAGCUAACUGCCUGCAGAAUUUACCUGGACUGUGAGUUAAUCUAUUGAGACACUGCUUUACCUGGACUGAGACAACAAACUAUAAUCUACAACAAAUUGUAACUCGGUAUCUUUGCUAACAGUGUCAUUGCUGGUAUAAUUUUUCCAAGGGCUUCUUGCAUGGAGCCAUCAAUUGGCUUGGUAUUGUGACAUUUUGUAUCCUCCCCUUCUGCUUGUAGCAGAUUACUUAUAGUGUUUCUGUAAAAACCACUAUGGUCCUUAUUUAAAUUAAACAAAAGGGGGAAAUGUUGGAAUCUGUAAACAAGUCAAAAUAACACCUGGCAUUUUGCCAAGGGAAUGUUAGAGUUCGUAAACAAGUCUGGAUGGUGCCUGGCAAAAUGCCAGAGGGAGUGGUUUGAGAAGUAACAAAACUGAGCCAUUAAGUAUGGAGAUUCCUGAUUGGUUGACUGAUGUAUCUAGUUUAUGCUAAUUAGAUAAGCUGUGUGGAAUGUAUAAAUACUGCUCCUGUCCUGCAAUAAAGGGCUCCUACUCCUGCUGAAAAAAAAAAAAAAAAAAAGAAUAACUCAGGAGGAAAAUUUUAUUCUGGCUCACCAUUUCAGAGUUUCAGUCCAUGGCUGGACAAUUUCAUAGCUCUGGGCCUGAGGUGAGGCAGAACAUCAAGGCAGAAGGGUGUGGUGGAGGGAAGCAGAAAGAACUUGAAUGCAAGGAGCCAGGAAUAUUAUUACUCCCCAGGGCAGGCCCCCAGUGACCUGCUUCCUGCAGUCAUGCCCUUCCUGCCUACAGUUACCAAUGCAUUCAAAUUACUAACCCAACUGGUUAAUCCACAAUUAGGCCACAGCUCUUAAAAAUCUAAUCAUUUCACCUCUGAACAUUCCUACAUUGUCACACAUGAGCUUUCAGGGACUACCUCACAUCCAAACCAUAACAAACUCUCAUCUAGUGAGUUUUGCUAGCAUCCUUGUAGCUGUCAUGCUCAAUCAAGAACAUAGUCACUAUCCCCAUGAACAAAGAUACCUGACAUACAAAUUAGAUCUUCUUAGAGUCUAGACUUAGGACUUGAAAGAAAAUCCAAACUGCAAGGUGGAUUUUUUUUAACACAUAGUUCAGGGUCCUGUUUUUAGGAAUGAGCCACUGGUAGACACAAUACAUUUAUGAUUUUAUAACAUUUCCUUUGGGUUGUAUAUUUUCUGGAGGAUUAAACACCAAUUACAAAUUACACUGGGCAUUUUCAGAUUACUUUUUUGGGGGGAUGGGUACUAGAAACUAAAUUCAGGGGCACUCAACCACUAAGCCACAUCCCUAGUGCCCCACCCCACUUUUUGCUGGUUGGUUGGUUGGUUUCUAUUUUAUUUAUAGACAGUGUCUCACUGAGUUGCUUAGCACCUCACUAAAUUGCGAUCCUCCUGUCUCAGUCUCCUGAGCUGCUGGGAUUACAGGCGUGCACCCUGCGCCCAGCUUAGUUUUAAAAUGUAUUUGUUAAAAUUGAAAACUUUCUUGUAUUUUUCACAUUUAUGGAGUUUUGAUCCAAUGUGCAUUUGUUUUGUUUUCUUUUGAGAAGGGGUCUCACCCUGUUGCCCUGACUGGUCUUGAGCUCUUGGGCUCAAGCAGCGCUCCCUGCCCAGCCCCAGUGGCUGGGACUGAAGGCAGGUACCACGAUGCCUGGUUGUGUGUGUUCUUACAUGUAGGCCAAUCGAAGACUUUUGCACAUCACUUCUACUCAAGAGGCUUCUCUCCACUCUGCUUCUUUAUGACUCUGAAUUGAACUGGGAUGAUGAAAGACUUUCCCACACACUUUGUUUAUAGGCCUUUGUCAAACAAUGCACUCUCCCCACAUGUGGCUCGAAAGCUUUGUUGAUAAUAAAAGCUGUCCCACAUUAUUUAGUUCUCUCUUGUGUGAGUCCUUUCACUUUUUUAAAGAUUUAUAUUAUAAUGGAAGGCUUUCCCACAUUCAUACAAUCACAAGAUUCCUC
Molecule: long non-coding RNA, 8112 nt
Filed under: Marmota monax (woodchuck)
Lineage: Eukaryota; Metazoa; Chordata; Mammalia; Rodentia; Sciuridae
Source: RNAcentral